This is a non-coding RNA of Vicia faba (fava bean), 285 nucleotides long. Lineage: Eukaryota; Viridiplantae; Streptophyta; Magnoliopsida; Fabales; Fabaceae. The record is from the annotation of a GenBank genome assembly.
AUGAAACUCUCAAGAUUUUUUCACAACUUUCAAGGAAACCAAUUGAUGAAGCUUCAAAGGAAAACAAGAGUUACCUCUUCAGUGACACUUGGUAAUAAUGUUCAAAGAAAGGCAACACUUGAGUGCUUGGUUAGAAAACUAUUCUUUAAGUUGAAGAAUUGCUGGAAACAAUCUCUUGGGUGGAAAAGGAGGAGUCCACAGUAUAGCUAUGAUCUUCAAAGCUAUUGUCUUAAUUUUGAUGAUGGCGCUUCAAAUGAUUGUAUGAUUCCAUCUCAUGUUUGUUGA